This 236-nucleotide ribosomal RNA is filed under the name uncultured bacterium. Its description in RNAcentral is "partial small subunit ribosomal RNA". It matches the Rfam family "Bacterial small subunit ribosomal RNA", at positions 26 to 288 of the family's 1533-position model. The record is from RNAcentral.
AGAGCGAACGCUGGCGGCAGGCCUAACACAUGCAAGUCGAGCGCCCGUAGCAAUACGGGAGCGGCAGACGGGAUAGUAACACGUGGGAACGCGCCCUUCGGUUCGGAAUAACUCAGGGAAACUUGAGCUAAUACCGGAUACGCCCUUACGGGGAAAGAUUUAUUGCCGAAUGAACGGCCCGCGUCCGAUUAGCUAGUUGGUGAGGUAAUGGCUCACCGAGGCGACGAUCGGUAGCU